This 429-nucleotide ribosomal RNA is filed under the name uncultured bacterium. Its description in RNAcentral is "partial 16S ribosomal RNA". It matches the Rfam family "Bacterial small subunit ribosomal RNA", at positions 338 to 795 of the family's 1533-position model. The record is from RNAcentral.
CCUACGGGUGGCAGCAGUGGGGAAUAUUGGACAAUGGGCGAAACCUGAUCCAGCCAUGCCGCGUGUGUGAAGAGGUCUUCGGAUUGUAAGCACUUUAAGUUGGGAGGCGUUACCGACAGAAUAAGCACCGGCUAACUCUGUGCCAGCAGCCGCGGUAAUACAGAGGGUGCAAGCGUUAAUCGGAAUUACUGGGCGUAAAGCGCGCGUAGGUGGUUUGUUAAGUUGGAUGUGAAAGCCCCGGGCUCAACCUGGGAACUGCAUCCAAAACUGGCAGGCUAGAGUACAGUAGAGGGUGGUGGAAUUUCCUGUGUAGCGGUGAAAUGCGUAGAUAUAGGAAGGAACACCAGUGGCGAAGGCGACCACCUGGACUGAACUGACACUGAGGUGCGAAAGCGUGGGGAGCAAACAGGAUUAGAUACCCUUGUAGUC